RNAcentral lists this ribosomal RNA (495 nucleotides) under uncultured bacterium. RNAcentral's name for it is "partial 16S ribosomal RNA". It matches the Rfam family "Bacterial small subunit ribosomal RNA", at positions 28 to 507 of the family's 1533-position model. The record is from RNAcentral.
GACGAACGCUGGCGGCGUGCCUAAUACAUGCAAGUAGAACGCUGAAGGAGGAGCUUGCUCUUCUGGAUGAGUUGCGAACGGGUGAGUAACGCGUAGGUAACCUGCCUGGUAGCGGGGGAUAACUAUUGGAAACGAUAGCUAAUACCGCAUAAGAGUAGAUGUUGCAUGACAUUUGCUUAAAAGGUGCAAUUGCAUCACUACCAGUCGCACCUGCGUUGUAUUAGCUAGUUGGUGGGGUAUCGCCUCACCAAGGCGGCGAUACAUAGCCGACCUGUGAGGGGGAUCGGCCACACUGGGACUGAGACACGGCCCAGACGCCUACGGGAGGCAGCAGUAGGGAAUCUGCGGCAAUGGACGGAAGUCUGACCGAGCAACGCCGCGUGAGUGAAGAAGGUUUUCGGAUCGUAAAGCUCUGUUGUAAGAGAAGAACGAGUGUGAGAGUGGAAAGUUCACACUGUGACGGUAUCUUACCAGAAAGGGACGGCUAACUACGUG